RNAcentral lists this ribosomal RNA (496 nucleotides) under uncultured bacterium. Its description in RNAcentral is "partial 16S ribosomal RNA". It matches the Rfam family "Bacterial small subunit ribosomal RNA", at positions 28 to 506 of the family's 1533-position model. The record is from RNAcentral.
GAUGAACGCUGGCGGCGUGCCUAAUACAUGCAAGUCGAGCGAACGGACGAGAAGCUUGCUUCUCUGAUGUUAGCGGCGGACGGGUGAGUGACACGUGGAUAACCUACCUAUAAGACUGGGAUAACCUCGGGAAACCGUAGCUAAUACCGGAUAAUAUUUUGAACCGCAUGGUUCAAAAGUGAAAGACGGCCUUGCUGUCACUUAUAGAUGGAUCCGCGCUGCAUUAGCUAGUUGGUAAGGUAACGGCUUACCAAGGCAACGAUGCAUAGCCGACCUGAGAGGGGGAUCGGCCAAACUGGAACGGAGAACCGGCCCAGAAUCCUACGGGAGGCAGAAGGAGGGAAUCUGCCGAAAUGGGCGAAAGCCUGACGGAGCAACGCCGGGGGGGUGAUGAAGGUCUUCGGGUCGUAAAACUCUUUUUUUAGGGAAAAAAAAAUGGGUAAGUAACUGGGCCCAUUUGGACGGUACCAAAACAAAAAGCCCCGGCAAACUCCGG